This is a long non-coding RNA of Micropterus salmoides (largemouth bass), 671 nucleotides long. RefSeq lists it as uncharacterized. Lineage: Eukaryota; Metazoa; Chordata; Actinopteri; Centrarchiformes; Centrarchidae. The record is from RefSeq and is a predicted model, not a curated record. The transcript has 4 exons.
UGAGAACAGGCCCUACCUGUUCAACCUGAAGCUGAAAGAGUUCAGACUCCAUUUUAAGUGGACACAGCAGGAGGAAAACUGAAGGCUGAGGCAGGCCUAUAGGGAGACAGGCUGAGGAGUUUGUUGCCCAGCUGGAACACAGAGUGGAGACACUGUUGGCUGCACCAUCCAGUACAUGUAAAAUACAACACACCAGCUGAGCUGGAACAACAAGAACACCUGAACUGAAGUCCAGAAGAUGGAAGAGGACAGAGCAGAGUCUGCAGGAUCCAGCUGUCUGUCUAUGAAGAGUGAUGGGUCUAAAGUGGAACCUCUGAACUUCAGUACUGAACCUGGACCCUCAGACACAAAAGUUCAGUCCAACAGACAGAGAGCAGAGUCUGCAGGAUCCAGCUGUCUGUCUAUGAAGAGUGACCAGUCCAAAGAGGAACUUGUGAACUUCAGUCCUGAACCUGGACCCUCAGACACAAAGUAAGAAACUGUUUUUACUGUAAACUGACCUGAUGGAAGAUGAUGAUGAAGACAAAAUGUUGUGCUAAAAGAACUGUUAGUGCAGAUACUGUUUCAAACUAAGAUGGAACACCUGAACCUCCAUUUCAGAAUUUACACUUCAAGAAAAUGUUCCUAUAUUUUUGCCCUCACGUUGACGUCGCUGUAAAGACUUGAUUCAG